This 1072-nucleotide long non-coding RNA is filed under the name Equus asinus (donkey). Its description in RNAcentral is "lncRNA (ENSEASG00005038149.1)". Lineage: Eukaryota; Metazoa; Chordata; Mammalia; Perissodactyla; Equidae. The record is from RNAcentral.
CAGGGAUCCAGGACAUGGCCUCCAGGCUGGUGGUUGAGCGUCCCAAGGGUGGCAUCACCACUGCCAGGACCAGUGUCUGUCUCUGUCUCGGGACACAGAGGCUAUAACUCUCUGUUGACUGUCUUCAUGCUGCACCCUGAGCCAUUUACAGCAGGAUGCCCAUCUGAUUCCCUCUGAGCCCCAAGAAUGGUUAGGAAAGGAAUAUUUGUACGUCUUAAACCUCACAAUAAAUGAUAUGAUCCCAGUUUUACAGGUGAGCAGAUCAAGGGCGACAGUAAUUAAGUGACUGGCUCCAGGUCACAGCCAAUGAGGAAUAUGACACUACUUUAAAUUUUAUUACAGAAAUUUUCAAACAUAUACAAAAGAAAAUAUCCGUAACUCCCACAGUAUUUAUCAUCCAGUUUCAACCACUAUCAACAUUUUGCCACUUAUUUUUCUCCUAUUCUCAUUUUUUUUUUUACCAGAGCAUUUAUAAAGCAAAUUCCAGACCCUGUGGCAAUUUACUGUAAAUACUUCCAUUUGCAUCUCUAAACAAUUAGAACAUUUUACCUAACCACCAGGCCAUUAUCUCUCCCUAAUAAAAGUAUCAAUAACUCCUUAUUAUCAUCUAAUACUGCUUAUAUUCAAAUUUCCUCCCCCUUUCACAAAUGUCUUUUUGACAGCUGGUCUGUUCUGUCUGAUCCAAAUAAGGUCCACACACUCCAAUUGGUCCUGUCUUUUAAGCAGUUUUAUUCUCAAACAGUCGUCCUUUCUUUUUUUCUCGAGGCCCUUCGUUAAUGAAUAAACUAGGCCAUUUGUCUGGUAUAACAUCCCACAUUCUGGAUUUGGCUGUUUGCCUCCUCCUGCAGGUGGCACAGGGCCUGGCACAGAGCAGGUGUUCAUUCAACAUUACAAAUCCUAAUACGUUUGUAUUUGUGAGCUUUAGCUUGGUCCCUAAAGUCUUCCUAGGUGCUGCUCUCAUUUUGUUGUUCUGUGUUUUAUUCAGAGAAAACUGAAGGGGAUAGAAAAGUGCAAGCAAAACCAACAAGCACCCACAUUCCCAGCAUCCAACAUCAACACUGCUAACGUUUUG